This 193-nucleotide non-coding RNA is filed under the name Erwinia sp. Its description in RNAcentral is "Lysine sequence". It matches the Rfam family "Lysine riboswitch aptamer". From Rfam's summary of the family: Riboswitches are metabolite binding domains within certain messenger RNAs that serve as precision sensors for their corresponding targets. The record is from RNAcentral. Lineage: Bacteria; Pseudomonadati; Pseudomonadota; Gammaproteobacteria; Enterobacterales; Erwiniaceae. RNAcentral also lists the same sequence under 1 other name.
CAACCUGGAAGAGGCGCGUCGCCCAGGCAGUGUGUUGGAGGAACCGUAUCCAGCGAAGGCAUAUGAUGGGGUGCGACGCCGAGGUAUUACCCACGCGGAGUGGGACGUAUCGACCACAGGGGCUGAAUCCUCUGGGUUGUCACCGGAACGUCUGAUGAACAGACGUUUUGCAAGGUGGGGCGCUUCCGGGUGA